This 749-nucleotide ribosomal RNA is filed under the name uncultured organism. RNAcentral's name for it is "SSU rRNA". It matches the Rfam family "Bacterial small subunit ribosomal RNA", at positions 38 to 766 of the family's 1533-position model. The record is from RNAcentral.
GGCGGCGUGCCUAAUACAUGCAAGUCGAGCUUUCCGGAUCGGAGCUUGCUCUGGUUUGGUCAGCGGCGGACGGGUGAGUAACACGUGGGCAACCUGCCCGCAAGACCGGGAUAACUCCGGGAAACCGGAGCUAAUACCGGAUAACACCGAAGACCGCAUGGUCUUUGGUUGAAAGGCGGCCUUUGGCUGUCACUUGCGGAUGGGCCCGCGGCGCAUUAGCUAGUUGGUGAGGUAACGGCUCACCAAGGCGACGAUGCGUAGCCGGCCUGAGAGGGUGACCGGCCACACUGGGACUGAGACACGGCCCAGACUCCUACGGGAGGCAGCAGUAGGGAAUCUUCCGCAAUGGACGAAAGUCUGACGGAGCGACGCCGCGUGAGCGAAGAAGGCCUUCGGGUCGUAAAGCUCUGUUGUGAGGGACGAAGGAGCGCCGUUUGAACAAGGCGGCGCGGUGACGGUACCUCACGAGGAAGCCCCGGCUAACUACGUGCCAGCAGCCGCGGUAAUACGUAGGGGGCGAGCGUUGCCCGGAAUUAUUGGGCGUAAAGCGCGCGCAGGCGGUUCCUUAAGUCUGAUGUGAAAGCCCACGGCUCAACCGUGGAGGGUCAUUGGAAACUGGGGGACUUGAGUGCAGGAGAGGAGAGCGGAAUUCCACGUGUAGCGGUGAAAUGCGUAGAGAUGUGGAGGAACACCAGUGGCGAAGGCGGCUCUCUGGCCUGCAAGUGACGCUGAGGCGCGAAAGCGUGGGG